This 862-nucleotide long non-coding RNA is filed under the name Homo sapiens (human). RNAcentral's name for it is "HSALNT0359261". The record is from RNAcentral. Lineage: Eukaryota; Metazoa; Chordata; Mammalia; Primates; Hominidae.
AUUUUGAGUAACAUAAAAUUCAGAAUAGCUGACAUUUUUUCCUUUAUUACACAUAAAAGAAAUCUAGAUAGUCUAGGGUUGGCCAUGGCCCCAGACAGCCUCAGGAACCCUGUCUCCUUCUGUUGCAUUGUUCUACCCUCCACAGCUUGUAGCUUCCACAUCCAUGUCCAAGAUGGCUGCUCCAGUUUCAGCCACUACAAACGCAUAACACCGGCAAGAACAAGGAAGGACAGCAGAAGGACAUAUGCACUCUCCUUUCCAAUGACACUUCCAAGGAGUUGCACAUACUACCUAUGCUUUCAUAUCAUUGUCCAGAACCUCAUCACUUGGCACAGCUGCAAGGAAGACUGGCCAGAGAUGCUUGCUGCGCAGCAGUGGUUCAGAAGUGUUUUAAUGAACUAAGAAGGACUGAUUUUCCAUCUGGCCUAACCAGAGUCUGAAGUUGCUGAAUCAAACAGAGCCAAUAGGUCGGACUUGAGCUGACUGGAGCAUGCACAGAGCUGGGAAGCACAACUUACCCUGUAUUUCAUGCAAUACAAAGGAAGAUGGCUGUUUGGGGUUGCCGUGUCUCUUAGCAAUUAAGGAGAUGGCUACAGCCAAGCAGUGUGAAGUGACAGCACCAGAAAGUUUUCUACACCAGAGGCUGAGAACAGGGGCUGUGCAGUCAUAUUCAAUAUUGAGUCCCCAACCCUAACCCGGACCUGGCACAUACAAGACAUUCAGCAGAUGGCUAUUGAAUGAAAAUAUAUAAAUGAAUCAACGAUUACCAGCUGCCUCCACUCCCUUAACCUGCUACAGAAUUAAUAAACUAAUCUUGAGCAUAGUGGAUAUAUAAAAAUAAAAGUAUCGUUGAGGACUGUCA